This is a non-coding RNA of Carlito syrichta (Philippine tarsier), 417 nucleotides long. The record is from the annotation of a RefSeq genome assembly. NCBI's taxonomy places the organism in Eukaryota, Metazoa, Chordata, Mammalia, Primates, Tarsiidae.
AUGGGCACAAGGCUUCUCUGCUGUGCAGCCCUUUGUCUCCUGGCAGCAGGCUCUUUUUAUGCCAAAGUUAUUCAGACUCCAGGACAUCUGGUAAAAGGGACAGGACAGAAGGCCAAGAUGGAUUGCAUUCCCCAAAAAGGACAUACUUUUGUUUACUGGUAUCAACAGAACCAGAAUAAAGAGCUUACAUUUUUUAUUUACUUUCAGAACGAAAGAAUUCUUGAUCAAAUGGAGAAGGAUAAGGAGCGAUUCUCAGCUCAGUGCCUCUCAAACUCACCCUGCAGCCUGGAAAUCCUAUCCUCUGAACCAAGAGACUCAGCACUGUAUCUCUGUGCCAGUAGUCAGUCCACAGUGCUGAAAUGUCAGUUCCUCUUAGUGCACAAACUCGCCAUGAACCCAACUCAGGAAGCAGGUUAG